RNAcentral lists this ribosomal RNA (253 nucleotides) under uncultured Eubacteriales bacterium. Its description in RNAcentral is "uncultured Clostridiales bacterium partial 16S ribosomal RNA". It matches the Rfam family "Bacterial small subunit ribosomal RNA", at positions 524 to 776 of the family's 1533-position model. The record is from RNAcentral. Lineage: Bacteria; Bacillati; Bacillota; Clostridia; Eubacteriales.
UACGGAGGGUGCAAGCGUUACUCGGAAUCACUGGGCGUAAAGAGCGCGUAGGCGGGAUAGCAAGUCAGAUGUGAAAACCCGGGGCCCAACCCCGGGAGUGCAUUUGAAACUGUCUGGCUAGAGUGCAGGAGAGGUAAGUGGAAUUCCUAGUGUAGCGGUGAAAUGCAUAGAUAUUAGGAGGAACACCAGUGGCGAAGGCGGCUUACUGGACUGUAACUGACACUGAGGCUCGAAAGCGUGGGGAGCAAACAGG